CCUACGGGAGGCAGCAGUGAGGAAUAUUGGUCAAUGGGCGGAAGCCUGAACCAGCCAAGUAGCGUGCAGGAUGACGGCCCUACGGGUUGUAAACCGCUUUUAUACGGGAACAACGCGCCUUACGUGUAGGGCUUUGCAUGUACCGUAUGAAUAAGGACCGGCUAAUUCCGUGCCAGCAGCCGCGGUAAUACGGAAGGUUCGGGCGUUAUCCGGAUUUAUUGGGGUUAAAGGGAGCGUAGGCCGCAUGUCAAGCGUGCUGGGAAAUGUGCGGGCUCAACCCGGGCCUUGCAGCGCGAACUGGCGUGCUUGAGUCCGCGGAAAGCAGGCGGAAUGCGUCGUGUAGCGGUGAAAUGCUUAGAUAUGACGAAGAACCCCGAUUGCGAAGGCAGCUUGCUGCAGCGGAACUGACGCUGAUGCACGAAAGCGCGGGUAUCGAACAGGAUUAGAUACCCCAGUAGUC
RNAcentral lists this ribosomal RNA (460 nucleotides) under uncultured bacterium. RNAcentral describes it as "partial 16S ribosomal RNA". It matches the Rfam family "Bacterial small subunit ribosomal RNA", at positions 338 to 795 of the family's 1533-position model. The record is from RNAcentral.